CUUUUGUUAGUCCUAGAAACACUAACGAAUAAGGGGUGGGCAAGUUCUGGUGUCAGCCGCCGCGGUAAAACCAGCACCUCAAGUGGUCAGGAUGAUUAUUGGGCCUAAAGCAUCCGUAGCCGGCUCUGUAAGUUUUCGGUUAAAUCUGUACGCUUAACGUACAGGCUGCCGGGAAUACUGCAAAGCUAGGGAGUGGGAGAAGUAGACGGUACUCGGUAGGAAGUGGUAAAAUGCUUUGAUCUAUCGAUGACCACCUGUGGCGAAGGCGGUCUACUAGAACACGUCCGACGGUGAGGGAUGAAAGCUGGGGGAGCAAACCGGAUUAGAUACCCGGGUAGUCCCAGCUGUAAACUAUGCAAACUCAGUGAUGCAUUGGCUUGUGGCCAAUGCAGUGCUGCAGGGAAGCCGUUAAGUUUGCCGCCUGGGAAGUACGUACGCAAGUAUGAAACUUAAAGGAAUUGGCGGGGGAGCACCACAAGGGGUGAAGCCUGCGGUUCAAUUGGAGUCAACGCCAGAAAUCUUACCCGGAGAGACAGCAGAAUGAAGGUCAAGCUGAAGACUUUACCAGACAAGCUGAGAGGUGGUGCAUGGCCGUCGCCAGCUCGUGCCGUGAGAUGUCCUGUUAAGUCAGGUAACGAGCGAGAUCCCUGCCUCUAGUUGCCACCAUUACUCUCAGGAGUAGUGGGGCGAAUUAGCGGGACCGCCGCAGUUAAUGCGGAGGAAGGAAGGGGCCACGGCAGGUCAGUAUGCCCCGAAACUCUGGGGCCACACGCGGGCUGCAAUGGUAACGACAAUUGGUUUCGAAUCCGAAAGGAUGAGGUAAUCCUCAAACGUUACCACAGUUAUGACUGAGGGCUGCAACUCGCCCUCACGAAUAUGGAAUCCCUAGUAACUGCGUGUCAUUAUCGCGCGGUGAAUACGUCCCUGCUCCUUGCACACACCGCCCGUCGUUUCAUUGAAGUGAGCUUUUAGCGAGGUGACGUCUAAUUGGCGUUAUCGAACUUGAGGUUCGUGACAAGGGAAAAGUCGUAACAAGGUGACCGUAGGGGAACCUGCGGUCG
Molecule: ribosomal RNA, 1061 nt
Filed under: marine metagenome
Description: bacterial SSU rRNA
Rfam family: Archaeal small subunit ribosomal RNA
Source: RNAcentral